This 491-nucleotide ribosomal RNA is filed under the name uncultured bacterium. Its description in RNAcentral is "partial 16S ribosomal RNA". It matches the Rfam family "Bacterial small subunit ribosomal RNA", at positions 29 to 507 of the family's 1533-position model. The record is from RNAcentral.
GUGAACGCUGGCGGUAGGCCUAACACCUGCCGGUCGAACGGCAGCACAGUAAGAGCUUGCUCUUACGGGUGGCGAGUGGCGGACGGGUGAGGAAUACAUCGGAAUCUACUUUUUCGUGGGGGAUAACGUAGGGAAACUUACGCUAAUACCGCAUACGACCUACGGGUGAAAGCAGGGGAUCUUCGGACCUUGCGCGAUUGAAUGAGCCGAUGUCGGAUUAGCUAGUUGGCGGGGUAAAGGCCCACCAAGGCGACGAUCCGUAGCUGGUCUGAGAGGAUGAUCAGCCACACUGGAACUGAGACACGGUCCAGACUCCUACGGGAGGCAGCAGUGGGGAAUAUUGGACAAUGGGCGCAAGCCUGAUCCAGCCGUACCGCGUGGGUGAAGAAGGCCUUCGGGUUGUAAAGCCCUUUUGUUGGGAAAGAAAAGCAGCAGGUUGAUACCCCGCUGUUCUGACGGUACCCAAAGAAUAAGCACCGGCUAACUUCGUG